GUGCUUCUCCUUCUCUCCUCUGGUGACCUUUACCCUCUGGCUCCACACGAGUCUGUGCCAAAAACUUGAGGGGCAUCUGUAUGCAGGACACAUCCACAGGGUGCCCACAGUGUGUGUGUGUGUGUGUGUGUGUGUGGAAAGAAGACACCCAGUGUAGGAAUAUUGUUGUGAAUGUGGCAGAUCUUGCACAAGAUUGCUGUACAAUGUGGAGACAGUUUUGUGGUUUUAGUGGGAGCAGGAGUUCUGAAUGUCUGGUCAGUCACACUCACGAAAAGCUGUGCAGCAUCUUUUUCUUUUUUUUCCUUAUGCUUUCUAACAUCACGGCCACGCGAAGCUGCACAGCCACAGAUAAAAGUUUACAUUUCGUGCGCAGAAAACGCAGCGAGCUUGGGGUUGAGUUGCAAACCGACUUGAAAUCAUGACAUGCUUGACAUUUAGCAACUUCUGGUGAAGUUGGUGGUGAACAAUCUUUAUUUUUUUUGUGUGUGUGUGGGGGGGGGGAUUUUUUGUCGUUUCUGACGUGUGUGUGUGUGUGUGUGGGGUUUUGUGGAAGUGAUGUGAGUUCCCAGUAGUGGAGGGACGGAGGGCGGUCAAACCGUAACAAUGCAUUCCGGUGGCGUUUUAAUGUAUUGAUCUAACCAGAGACGUGCGGUCGGGGGGAGGCAGGUCAGCCAAAGCCUUAUUAUUUAUUCCACCAUUAUUACUUCUUAUUUACUCAUUUAAGAAAUAUGUGAAGGGAAAAUAAGGAAUAAAUGACUUUGAUGGCCUUUAGAAGAGUUGCUGUCUCACCUGCCUCUAACUCUUUGUGUUAUGUCGUGAAAGGAUUUGCAGGUCAGAGAAGGUUUGUUUUUUUAACUUGGCGUCUGAAGGGUCUGAUGGGAGUGGAUACGUCAAGUUAGGCCACAUUCCCACAAUUCAUUUGGGCUGUUUUGUGUUGAUUUUUUGUCAUUUUUUUUUUUUCCCAGCUGCUAAAUUGUUUCAAAAAGAAAAGAUGGAGAGCUGGAGGAGCAGCUGUAAAUCUAACAGACUUUAAUGUGAGUAACAUGUUUCUCUGCCGGCGGGACGGUUCCCCCCUCGUUUCUGUUAUUUUGUGGAGUUUGUAGUUUUCUUGGAACGGUGGCAGGUGUGAGUCGGUCCAGUUCAUCCCGUUAGUCGAGGCGUGUUGCUCUUUAAAUAAAUGUGAUCAUGUAGACUUACAUCUGUUAGAUAUCGUGCACACAGUCGAUUUUCGGUUUGAGACGUGAUCCAGUUCUGUCCCAGUGACAAAAAAAAAAAAAAAAAAA
Molecule: long non-coding RNA, 1283 nt
Organism: Salarias fasciatus (jewelled blenny)
Lineage: Eukaryota; Metazoa; Chordata; Actinopteri; Blenniiformes; Blenniidae
Exons: 2
Source: RefSeq, a predicted model, not a curated record